AUCCGAUUUAUCUCCUAUCUGAUAUCCUCUUCUUAGCCUUUAUUGCCUGCAAAAGUUCCAUCACAAUGAGUGAAACAAUACAACAAAAAAUGAAUACUAGUAUUAGGAGAAACAAAUCAAAGUGGACCUGUUUUUGCCAAUCAGUGAAAACUAGUAUGAGGGAAAGACUAAUUGCUUGUAUUGCAGAACCAGCCAAUAGUCCAAUCCAAAGACCCUUUGCUUUCAGAUUUACAAGGAAACACAGUACAGCAGCAACUGGGAUUCCAACUAGAUAGAAUGCUCCUAAAUUCACAUAUGCACCAAUUAUCUGCCAUCCACUUCCCCUAGCUACUCCUGUUUAUUUCCAACAUACACUUUUUUUCAAAUUUCAACUAAAUAUUGUUUAAUUGCCUACUUAACGAUCAUCGAAAGAUAUAUAUAGCUAGUUAGGAGACUUGCCACAAAUGACUGCUUGUAAGCUAUCUGUGAUGAUUGUUAGACACAGAAAAGGAGUAAUUGCAGCAACAUAAUCCACCACGUGUUCAUCAUUGCUAUAGGCUUUACCCAAAACUCCGCGGCAUAAGAAUAUUACUAUGCUCGCCACUACUGUCUCUGAAACUGCAAGAAACAUUGCAACUCUAACUGCCACGAGAGCCUUCUGAGGAUUACCAGAUCCCAGUUCAUUAGACACCCUCGUGCUGUAAUUAAGCCAGAGUUUUUUAGUCAUGAAGACAAAAAAAGUACGCAUUUUUUAGUCAUAUUGAACUAACCUCACACCAGUUCCCAAUCCAUAAGGAAGAGCAAAAUGCAAUGCAGAAAUCGUUAAGCUGAUUCAGCAAAAAUUAUGAGGAUCAGUACUAUACACAAUGGAUGAAUUGAGCAUAAAAUAGGUUAUCGUGAAUUGGUGCAUACAUACCAUAUUGAUAGUACUGAUGUUUCAAGUUUUGGAUUUGGUAACAGGCCAGAUAGCAAAGUGAGCACCUCAAGUGACCACCAUUUAAGGCUGUGAUGAUUUCCAUUGCACAAAAACAGAUGAAGAUAAAUGAAUCAAAAUUGUGAUAAAAACUACUUAAGAUUCUUCAAUAACAAAAGCAGGACUUCUUACCAAACCAUUAAAGCGGAUGGAGUUGCAUAACGAAAGAAUUUUCCGAUAGCAAGGAAGGCAUCUCUGUUCAGAGGAGUUCGAGUCCUCUCACAAGAAUUCGAUCGACUGAUGUAAACCACAAGUAAUGCUACAAAAGUCCAUAUUGAAAAACUAAAGGCUAUAGCUGCACCUGAUUUUCCUAGUCUCAACUGAAAUAUGAAAAACCAGGAUAGUGAUAUGUGGAGACAUAGAGACAGAAAGGCGCUUACGAGCAUUGGAAGAAUCAAACUUUGAAUCAGCAAAUAUCUGAGUAGGGGCCUAAGAAUUGCACUUCCAAAUAGUGCAGGGGUAAGCCACAGAGAAAACUUAUAAGCUUCAACUGAAAUUACAGGGUCUUGUCCCAUUAAAAUGAGCAGCUUGUCCAUGAAGAGCCACAAGAUACUGAUUGGGAUGCACACAAUAAUCAGAGAUAUCACUGCACUGUAAGUAUAAGUACCUACUUUUUGCCAUUGAUUUGCACCAUAUGCUUGCCCGGACAGAGUUUCCAAACCACCAACCAACCCUGACUGUUUCACAUUUACAUAAAGAAUUUACUAAAAAUGUUCAUUGUCCUAUUAACAAUCAUGAUUCAUUUAUUAAUUCAACCCGAUUAGAACUAGAGACACAGAUAGCCUUAUAGCACCGGGCUCAUCUGAACCUAGUACUUUCGACAUAGAGUACAGAUUUAUGUGUACAAGUUGAACCCACCCACAUAGAGUUCAAAUCCUGAAUCUUUUUAGUUGCUCACCUAUUUACCACCUCUAAUAAGAUUUAACAAUCACAAUGACAAAGAGAACUUACAAGAAGAGAGAAGCCGGUAACGUUGGUUAUAGAAGUAGCAAUAGAAACACUUGACAGUGAUAUCUGGUCUAGAUGUCCAACCAUCAUCAUUGAUACAACUUGCAAUAGAUACUGCAACACAGAAACUGCCACCAUUGGUGCUGCUAUAUAACUCAACUUCUUUAGUUCUUCACAAUAAGUUUCCGUUAUAACCCAUCUUCUGUUCUCUCCAUUUUCCAGCAACUGCUCUUCCAUGGAUUCAGCCAUGUUUAAAUUUGUAAAAAAUAGCAACAAAUGUAUGCUGUGAUUUCAAUACCAACUAAUAAGUUCUUCGUAUCAGGUGUCACAUCUAUAGUCCCUUUCAUUUGUUUAAAAUUGUAAUAAUAUAAUGCUAUUAGUUAUGCCAUCAAUUAAUGCUCCAGAUACAUAAGGUUUAUUUAAUUCAGAUGAUUCAAUCACGCUUAAACAAAUCUUUUAAGAUGGUCUCCAAAUGACGAUGUUUAGUGUCGUAUCUGUGUAGCGGGCCGGCAACAUAGGAAAGAAAUUAUAAUUUAUUUCAAAUAGUAAAUCUCUGAAAUAAUAAUUCAACAGAGACAUAACAAGGAAUUCAACAAAACACAUGAGAAAUUAAGAUCAUAAAUUUGAAGCAACCUUCAUCCAUAACAAGGAUAAAUAGUUGUUUCAAAUACAUUAAUUCAUCUACUAUGUAUACGGAAAUUCAUUCAUCACUGUCCAGUUGAUAUCACAAAAGGUCACUACUCAACUUGGAGAAUUCAUCCAGUAAAGUCAUUCAUCUUUGUUCUGUAUCAAUAAAAUCACUCUUAAGCCUUUGUUUUGAUAAAAUCAGUCAACUAAAUUUAUCAUUAAGAAAAACCAUAGUCAUCCUUAAAUAACAUUGGUUGGUGAAUACUUUUAAUGAACUCAGUCUACUGCUCCUUAUAAAUAGUUUUCCGCACCUUACACCAUAGUAUAUAAAAAUUCAUUCAUCACUGCCAAUGUGUACUCAACCAACUUAUCAUUAAAUAUAAGCAAACGUGCCUCUCGAUAUCAUCUUAUUUCAUUGAAUUAGUCCCCUCUAAUUAUUCUCUUCUGAUUAUCUCUUUUCUGAUACCCUCUUCUUAGCCUCUAUUGCCUGCAACAUGCAAUGAGUGAAACAAUACAUGAGUAGAGUUAAAAGAUCAAAAAAUGAAUAGUAGUAUUAGGAGAAACAAAUAAAAGUGAACCUGUUUUUGCCAAUCAGUGAAACUUAGUAUGAGGGAAAGACUAGUUGCUUGAAUUGCAGAACCAACCAAUAGUCCAAUCCAAAGGCCCUUUGCUUUCAGAUUUACAACGAAACACAGUAGAGAAGCAACUGGGAUUCCAACUAGAUAGAAUGCUCCAAGAUUCACAUAUGCACCAAUAAUCUGCCAUCCACUUCCCCUAGCUAUUCCUG
RNAcentral lists this long non-coding RNA (3314 nucleotides) under Solanum tuberosum (potato). Its description in RNAcentral is "long non-coding RNA (STUB_LNC003174)". The record is from RNAcentral. Lineage: Eukaryota; Viridiplantae; Streptophyta; Magnoliopsida; Solanales; Solanaceae.